CAAAAAUGAAAAACCUCUAAACUAUCAAAGAUAUUUGAACAGAAGUUGUGAAAUUUCCAUUCUAAGAUAAUAAAGGAAGAGCCAACAUGGAGAUUGCUGAUUUAAAUCAGACCUCAAAUAAUUGGACAGAUGAUUAUUUCCCUGGAUACUACAGUAUUCACAAGAAGUUCUAAAGUCUAAAACGAAUUUCCAAAGCAGAGAAUACAGGU
Molecule: long non-coding RNA, 209 nt
Organism: Pseudophryne corroboree (corroboree frog)
Lineage: Eukaryota; Metazoa; Chordata; Amphibia; Anura; Myobatrachidae
Exons: 3
Source: RefSeq, a predicted model, not a curated record